RNAcentral lists this small RNA (100 nucleotides) under Salmonella enterica. Its description in RNAcentral is "partial RtT sRNA". It matches the Rfam family "RtT RNA", at positions 32 to 130 of the family's 130-position model. From Rfam's summary of the family: This family represents a bacterial cis-regulatory element known as RtT RNA. The exact function of RtT is unknown although it is thought that it may be involved in changing the cellular response in relation to amino acid starvation. The record is from RNAcentral. Lineage: Bacteria; Pseudomonadati; Pseudomonadota; Gammaproteobacteria; Enterobacterales; Enterobacteriaceae.
UUGACUAAGGUUCGAUUCGAGCGCAGCGAGAAAGCGUUGCCGCAGGCAACGACCCGAAGGGUGAGGAGCGGAGCGACGAAUAAUCCUUCCCCCACCACCA